CUAUUAGUGAGAUGGCGUUGUGAUGACGUGAUUUGCGUAAAUAAGGUGUUAGGUAUGUAUGCGAUGCCGGUGAGAUGAUAGAAGAGGGAAAUUUAGUGACAACAAAUUCUUGGCUUGGUAAGACAAAGUGUUUGGAACUUGGCAACAUUUAUAAGGCGUUUUGCAUUGCUGCCACUGUCAGUUGCAAUUCGACACCGUCAUAAUACAUUUCACCGCAAGUAUCAAUCGAUAUCUUAUUCCAGAAAAAUGAAAACAAUUCAUUUUUUCCCCUUUUUAAUGGUUAAAUUCAUAAAACUAGUCUAGAAUGGAUACGCAUAUAAAAAAUUUUCCGAGAUAUCUUUUCAAAGAGUUUUGAUUUGACUACACAACACAAACUGAAGAGAGAACUGUAGUAAGUUUUGGAGGGGGCUUCUAAUUGGUGGAAUCCUAUCCAAAAUGGCCGCGCCCAACAGCCAAAUUCUAGUGAACGUUGUCUACUGCAAGAGCGCAAGGAAACACAACGUAGUGCCUGCGAUUUAUUUUCGUCAUGCGUAAAAACGAGUCCCGUGAUGCCCUGCCAAUGACACCUAUUCCCAUCAAGGUUAUAUUGUGUAUUCCAGAAAAUGAGGCCGUUUUGGAGUUUCAGCUGAUGGAAUCCAUGAAGCAGUUUGCUGCUUGUUGACGGGUAGUCAGCAUUAAAUCGAGAUCUAUGCGCGGCAUUGGCCCUGUUAGCUUACACAGAUUCCCAGCAGACAGGUAUGUAAAAAUCAAUACUUUUUACCGUUACGGCGUCACUCUUUCACGCAUCAGUCAGCGAAAUUGAAAGCAACCAGAAGGCAAUUCUGAUUUUAAUUCCACUUUACUUUCUUUAUUUCAAAAAUUCUCCGUGAUACGUCAAUGUCAGUUCCUGUAGGUAUACAGUAUAGUUACCCCUUUGACAACUAAAAUGCAAUUAAACUUUUAUCCAGCAAGCUAGAAAUGUCACAGAGGACCACAGACCGCAUUGUCGGAGUUCGUUCAUGAAUACGUUAAAUAUACUAACAAUGCUCUAGAUGUAUAUAUUUAACGAAUUUGAAUAAUGCAUACAAUCAGUAGCUAAAGAUUUUUUUUCAUAGCGAGUAAAGAGCACACGAUGGAGAUUGUCAAUCAUUAGUGUGCAUUGUUCAAGUUUAACUAUAUACGAUUUUUUCCCCACCAAUAGUCAUUUCGCGUUUUCCACAAUGUAAUCUUUUCUUGAUGUCAGUAUUUAUUGAUUAAAUUGUGCCUCCUAUAUCACUAGACCAGCAAGCAAAAAUGUUGGAGCAUAGUAUGUUAAGGUGGAUGUAUCGUGUUUUCAAAUUGGGUAAUAUUAGAGGAACCAGAUGCUGUUCAUAUUCAUAAACUCAUUUUCGUUGUAUUUUUACUUGUAAUUAAUACUUUAAUGAAGAAAAUUUGACGUAAAUUUUUAUUUUCUAUUUUGCUGGUCGCUAGAAAACGUUUAUUUGGAUAGGCCGUCCAUUUGUUGAUAUCCCUCAUUUGUUUCUUAUUCUUAACCUACAUUGUCAGGGCGACAAACAGCUAUAAAAUUAUUUUUUUUGUUCACACGAUGUGCACUUAAUAAAGCUCAGUUCAUUUACAACAGUAAUUGUCACACAAUAUGGUUCUACGAUAAGCUUAGGACAAAGAAACUAAACUUAGGACUUGAUUUCUCAGGUCGUAUAAUCCCUAUAAAAACGCAACUCAAUGUUGUUUUCCUUGGAUGAGUUCAGACAGCGUUAACAUUUCUAAAACCUGUAUCUAAAAUUUAAAGACUUUGUGUUGUUCGGCUUACCCGACCCAUCGUGCGUUUCCUUCCCGACAGAUAAAAAAGACAGGCCCGUAUUACUGUGCCCUUAUUGGUUGGAUGCAAUAUCAAAAUGGCUGCCAACACAAAGUCUACUGCUAUGUGAGCUAACAGAAAAAAAUAAAUGCCGCGUUUACAUCUUGGCGCAUACACCCCCAGAGUAAGCGUAGUUACGUAUGCUUCCCUCUUAGCUUGUUGUUUUGAUUAUCAAGUAGGAGGACUGGUAUUUUAACGUAUCACAUUGGUUCCAAUUUGAAGUGCGUAAAAGUUGAGGGUGCCAAUUUUUGUGUGCCAUUACUCUUGUCAGUCGAUCAGAAAAAUAACCAAGGACAACUUUGCAUUUUUUUUAAAUAAAAAAGAGGGGGGUCCAUUGAAGGAAAAAUUCGCCGAAUUGUGUCAACUCUGCAUUAGGCUUCCAACAGUCAGCUGAUUUACAGGGAAAGCGUGUGCUUAAGGUCUGUUAGUUUUUGCAUCGAAUAAUCAUCGAAGACAAAAACGAUUUUAAUUGUAAUGGACGUACGAUUAGAUUAGAAAUUGCUUACGAUGUAUCUUUUUUUUUACCCCUGAAAUUCCAUUAAAAAUUUGUUUGCUAAGUGUAUCUUGUUUUAUUGUUUUUUCUUGAAUAAAAAAAAAGAUGUUAAUGGAUUGUCUCAGAGACAUGUUUUACACGGUAUUCAUUACAAUAGACUUUAUAGAAAAAGAAAAAUUAUACGUCCAUUUACCUUUAUGUUUAACGCUUUAGCAUGCUUUAAAUCAUAACCUUUCCUAAAUAAAACUGACCUGCCUUAAAUCAGGUGGGAUGCCUAACGAAAAACGACAUUCAAAAAAGGGCAUAAAGCAUACGACAGGGCAUACGGUACAUUCAGAUCUAUCGACCUUUAUAGCGUUCAGGUUGUAACGAAUCGAAACCGCUUUUCGUACGCUUGACAGCAGUUUGCAGUAGCCUUAAAGUGGGAGUGACGCGUAAUGUGUUCAGUGCGUCACCACGCAUAGAACUGGAGCCGCUCUUAUCACGCUUAGCGGUACGCCAUCAUGGCGUGGAGUUAGGAGUGGCGCAUGGUGUAACUCACGCGCCCCGCCCACACGAUUGUAUCACCAAAGCGUGUUUCUUAUUACUUCCAUGAUAUGCGCCACUGUCGCGAUUCCACUGAUAUAAAAUCCCGACUUUUUCGCUAUUUAGCUCAGAGUUGCAUUUGCUCGCAUCCUGUGUCCUACUUGCAUUGGGAUACAUAAAUAAAUGGCAAUAACACGUCGUAAGGCUCUAUUCACGAACAAAGUCUUUUUGAUUGCAGCGUACUGCCCAAUAGCUCCCUUUGUGUUGGGAUAUUUUUUUUGGGUGGGCAGGCUCAUAUGAAAACAAUACCUUUUCCAGUAGUAGCAGAUGUUAUGUUCAAUGUUGAUUUUUCGGUAGUUUCAUGUUAGUCAUAGAAUACAAAAUGUCUUUCUACAUAGAUGAAUGGCAUGUGUGAUUUUCGUAGUUUUAAUAAUUAAAAUUAACACACAUAGAUUCUGAUUAUCCAUUACAGCCAGUCAACUGAAGGAAGAACGUGAACUAAAAGUUUAGGCCAUGGGUUGGCCCUUGAUGAUGAGACGAACGUAUUUUACAACAUAGUUUUUCUUAAAAUUGUUUUCCUGCCCAUGUUUCAAGUGUGGCAUUCCAUAACGGACAGUAGCCUGAUGGAUGGGAUUAUGCCUUUGUUUCCUAAGUUUCACGUUUGUCUAAUAUGCAAGCUACUCUUUUACAAUCUAGUUUUGUUUUUAGACGCCUUUAAAGAAUUGCGUCGCUAACUAAUACUCUUCUUAAAUGGUUCUCUUACAAUUUACCAUUUUGCAUGGAGCUGUCGUUUUUGAUCAUUCCAUCUUGCCUGUUAGUAUACCCCAUCCAGCAUCCAUCCCAAUUAAAACGCUUUCCGCUUUCUUGAUGGUUUAAGCUCAUACUUUCAUAUAAUUUGUUUUUAGUAUAGCCGUCGUGUGAUAGAAAAAUACAACCUAGUUCGCUUAUCGAGGUAGGCGCGUUUCUCAAA
Daphnia carinata is the source of this 3825-nucleotide long non-coding RNA. RefSeq lists it as uncharacterized. The record is from RefSeq and is a predicted model, not a curated record. The transcript has 2 exons. NCBI's taxonomy places the organism in Eukaryota, Metazoa, Arthropoda, Branchiopoda, Diplostraca, Daphniidae.